CGAACAAAAAAUGUUUAAAAAAAAAAUGAUUUAUAUAACCACAAUUUCAAUAACAAAAUGAAGUGUUUUUUGUACAAUAAAACGCAUUUGACAAGUUUCACUGUAGGCGAACUUUACAAUGUCAGACAUUUCAAAAUUAAUCUUCAGAUGACUGUUCACAUCAUGGUUGAUCGUUAUACGCCAAAGAAUUAGUACUUUGUGCGCAGCCUCCAUUCAAACGGAUAACCGCAUCUGAACGUCUUCUGAUUCCUGCCAUAAAUCGACUAAUUUGUUGCUAAGGUAGCAGCAACCAUUUCUGAUGAAGGGAAUUGUUUAUUUCAUGUUGUGUUUGAACUGGGGUGUCCUUUCGCUCACUUUCCGCCCAAUAGUGUCCCAUAUAAGCUCAAUAUGGUUCAAAGCCGGGCUACGAUCGGGCCAAGGAAGAUGAACCAAACUCCAUUUGAACAUUGGAUCUUCCUCCACGAUGCUAAUUUCCAACUUUGGCGAGCUCUGCACUACAUUGGAUACGGAAAACUGUAAGUCUGCUCGUUAGCAAAGGUCUCCGAAAUGGUAUUAUCGCACUGUAACCAGUAGCGAUGAGUUGAUCUCGAACAGUUCUUGUUAAAAGGCUCUUGUAUGGCCACCACUCUCAUUUUAGGAUUGUCUUGUAUGCAAUAGGUUUCCUUCUGACCAACCUUCAUUAUGCUUGAUUUUCUCUAGCAAAUGGAAUAGGGGGUCUUCAUUAUCUCAGAAGGUCUUUUACAGCGUUUAUUGCCUGAUUUUUAUUCUCAAAACGACUUCAGUGGCAUGGUGAUGACCAACAAUGCGUGCAGUUGUUACAGCGACAGCCCUGCUUCUCUUAUGCUGAUAAUCUGCCAUCUUGCUGCAGUUAAGAGUUGUCAAGGACCCAUUAUAAGGUGUCAAUCACAUAAUUUUAAAAACUUGGUUAUUUAAAGUGCUGAAAACAAUGAGGAUGAAAACAUCUUUUUUGCUGUUUACGGGUACAGUAGCUGCAU
This 995-nucleotide long non-coding RNA is filed under the name Mytilus galloprovincialis (Mediterranean mussel). The record is from RNAcentral. Lineage: Eukaryota; Metazoa; Mollusca; Bivalvia; Mytilida; Mytilidae.